UGGAAACAAAGGUAUUCGUGGAAGGUUGAAAAAAGUUGGUGUGUGAUGGUGUUUCAUUACACAAAUGUUGGAAUUUUUUUUGAGUACAAAAAUGUCUGAGGGAAACAUUCGUGCACGUUAACCAGUACCUUUUUCCCAUUCUGUAACUUGGUUUAUACGUUCGUGUACAUGUCGUCGUUGUACAUUUUCCUCUCCUCCUUCGUUUCGGUACAUUUAACUGAAGGCCUCUAUAAACCGCAGUGACUUCUCGUGUAGAUGUCGUCGUUGUACAUUUUCCUCUCCUCCUUCGUUUCGGUACAUUUAACUGAUGGCCUCUAUAAACCGCAGUACCUUCAUAGGAUUUUAUGAUACUUCGAGUACAGGUUCUGCUGUCUACUGUUCGAGUCCGAGAGUCCGAGAGUCGUUUCCCUGUGUACUUAUGACCGUGGAUGUUUGUUUCAACGGGGGAGGUCGGUAAGUUGGUAUAGCCCUACCCCUUAUGCGUCGAACAAGAACUAGUGUUGUAGUACUAUCGUUUUCGGUCUUUGUGAUAAAACUAAACGUGACCACGGGGAUACUAUAUGAUGAUCAAGGAUAUAUAGAAAGGACCCAGCCACUUGAACUCGACGACUGACGACCACGCGACUAGAAGCACAAGGAGUCCUGAAAACUCUACACUCGCUUCCCGUCCGGAGUAGCCUCUUCUUUUUGUUGUGCGCAGUACGUUUUGUUGUACACUUCUAAAUAAUUCAUACCACACAGUUUUUGGUUAGAGAUCAGCCUAUUAGCAUUAUUGUGCGUUUAAUCACAGAUGUUUAUUACAGUGAGAAGGAUACUACUGUAUUAAUUAUCUUGACUUGUAUAAAUUUUAUUCUGAGAGGUCAUUAAGAGAUAUAUUCUUAUAAAAUCUCGCUCUUGUAACAGGCGUACUUUUUACUUCAUCGCUCUCGAUGAAACUUCUUUAGACCUCCACAUGGUAAUCGGUAGUAAUGAUAUCGAUCAUAAACCCAAUCAUUAUUAGUUUAUCUCGUUUGUUACUAACCAACACGAACGAGUUACGAUACCCAACACCCCAAUGUUAUCCACGAUCAAACUUUCUUUUUUUUUCUAUAAUAACGAGUCGAUAAUACUAGACGGAAGAGUAGAUUUCCGAACAAAUAAUAGAUUUGUAUAAAGGGUUAUCAGGUUACCGAGUACUUCACCUUCUUAAUAAUAUCAACAUACCACGCCACCCCACUCUGUACAAAUCAGCAGGCGACGCCGACGGGAUAGCUGUACACCGCUAGUGAACAAAUACUAGAGAGAGUUUGAAGGUCUUUAUACGAAUAUACAUUAUUUGAUCAGAAGUCUACUCUUCGUUUAGUAUUGUUAACCUCGUUGCUAUAGGGAAAAUAAAAGAAGUUUUAUCGUAGAAGACAUUGGAGUACUCCGUAUUUUAACUCGUUUGUUUUGAUUAUUAAAAAAACUAGGUAAACCAUAUAAUGAUUGGUUUUAUCAUCGAUAUCAUUAUUACCAAUACCAUGCGACGGUGUAAAGAAGCUUUAUCGAGAGCUAUAAAAGAGGUUAAGUGUACUUGUAUACAAGAGCAGCACUAUAUAAAAGAUAUCUUUUAGUAAACUCAGAAUAAACUUUCUCCAAAGAGUACUUGAUACAUAGUGUCUUUUUCACUAUACGAAGUUUCUAUGAUUAAAACGUAGAACAAUACUACUAUAGGUUGAUGUUGAUUUUGCAUAUGUUUGUUGUGAAUUAGAAGUGGAAAAGAGAUGGGUCUACACUAGUUAUUAGUAUUCCAUAAAUGUUUUUUUUAUAUUUAUAAUUAACCGUGUAGUUAAAUAAAUCUGUGUUUUUGAUUUUACUUGAUAUCCUUAAAUCUUUAGCGUUACUUCUAUUACUUAAUAGUUGUAACACGAUCGAUCCUUCUCAUUUUUCCGUCGAUUUAACCUAAUUUUUUUUAACCGUAUUAUCUUCAUAGUGCCUGAUUCUCUACUUCUUUUUUUAAGUCUCGGUAAACUAAGAGAAAAUUUAUCUUAUUUUCUGCUCAUGAUACACGUGCACGGAAAACAGGUAAUCUUUGAGUGGUUCAACCAAUUACUCAUACCACACUGUUUCUGGUUAGAGAUGUCAGUUUAUUAGUAUUGUUGUACGUUUAGUCACAGAUGCUUAUUACAGUGAGAAGGGUACUACUUAUCCACAGGCGUACUUUUUACCUCAUUCAUCGCUCUUGAAAAAACUUCUUUACACCUCCACAUAGUAAUCGGUAGUAAUGAUACCGAUCAUAAAACCAAUCAUUAUUGGUUUAUCUCGUUUAUUACUAACCAACACAAACGAGUUACGAUACCCGACACCCCAAUGUUUUCUACGAUCAAACAUUCUUUUGUUUUACUUUUAUUAUAAUGACGAGUCGAUAAUACUAGACGGAAGAGUAGACUUCUGAACAAAUAAUAUAGAUUUGUAUAAAGAGUCGCCGGGUUACCGAGAACUUCACCUUCUUAAUAAUAUCAACAUAGUUACUACAAGAGAAGACGUGCCCUAGACGAACACUAGAGAGAGAGUUUGAAGGUUCUUAUCGAAUAUACAUAUUUGAUCAGAAGUCUACUCUUCGUCUAGUAUUGUUAAUUCGUUGUUAUAGUGAAAGUAAAGCGAGUCGAUAAUACUAGAUGGAAGAGUAGAUUUCUGAACAAAUCGCCGGGUUACCGAGAACUUCACCUUCUUAAUAACAUCAACAUCGUUACUACAAGGGAAGACGUGCCCUAGACGAACACUAGAGAGAGAGUUUGAAAGUUUUUAUACGAAUAUACAUUAUUUGAUCAGAAGUCUACUCUUCGUCUAGUAUUGUUAACUCGCUGUUAUAGGGAAAGUAAAGGAAGUUUAUAUCGUAGAAAACAAUGGAGUACUGUGUAUUUUAACUCUUUUGUCUUAGUUAUUAAAAAACGAGGUAAGCCAUAUAAUGAUUGGUUUUAUCAUCAACAUCGUUAUUACCGAUACCAUGUGGUGGUGUCAAGAACUUUUAUCGAGAGCUAUAAAAGAGGUUAAGUGCUUUGUAUACAAGAGCGAUACUAUAUAAAAAGACAUCUUUUAAUAAACCCUCAGAAUAAACUUUCUCCAAAGAAUACUUAAUACAAUAGUGUCUUUUUCACUCUACGAAGUUUCUAUCAUUAGAACAUACAAUACAAUAUUAAUAAGUUGAUGUUUCUAAAAAAAAAAAUGUUUGUUGUGAAUUAUUUAGAAGUGUAAAAGAAGAGGGGUCUACACUAGUUAUUAGUAUUCCAUAAAUGUUGUUUUUUUAAUUUUUAUAACACGAUAGAUCCUUCUCAUUUUUCCAUCCUUUAAAUAUAAUUUUUCUCCUUUACUGCAUAAUUUUCAUGGUGUCUUUUUCUCUCCUUCUUUCAUUAAAGUAUCGGUCAACUAAGAGAAAAUUUAUCUUACUUUCUCCUCAUGAUACACGGUUAGUCACUAUGAAAAUCAUUCAAGGUCGCCUAAGUCGUGUAAGUGUUCGGAAGAAAUCUAUACAUGGUCUAUUCGAUGACUUUAUUCAAGUCCUGGUUCUUAACUAAAAUGCAUAUAAUUGAGGUCAAAUUUUCUAAUAUGAUUGUUAAUUUCCCGCAGGCUAAAAGGUACUAUCUUCCUUUAUGUCAUUCGAGGUGUUGAAGUGUUCGUCAAAGAGUGGGUUUUUUUUGAAGUGUUCGUCAGUUUCCACGUUCGUUUCUUUAUGAUACGAGUUCGUCUUUCAAACUCUGUGGUGAUAUUGGUUCGUUUCUUUACGUCGUUCAUACGUUCGUAUGAAAGCACAACUCGGUCAUUGAUAACUUCUCUUUCGAGCCCUUCUAGAAUGGAACGUCAGGCCUCCACGAGCCUCCCUCCGGUCUAGCUACGUCACUUCUCUAGACCUAGUCCCUUCUGGUUUGUACACUACACUAAGGUCUAGCUACGGUCUAGUUUGGCCUCCUUUGUCAUUCGAACAGCUACGGUGUAGGUUGGCCUCCUUUAACGAAGAGCUACGCUCUAGCCCGGCCUCCUUUAUCAUUCGAACAGCUACGGUCUACACUAAGGUCAACUGCGCUUCUGCCGCUGGAGCGGAGCACUGGUGUUCCGACGUCGUCCCACGCUGGACCGCCACCUGCUCUAGAGCUGGCCCUAGGCACUCCUCCUCUCUGCUGCGGCUUCCGUCUUCCAACUUCUUCUCGUCGGACUUGCUUGUGGCUUGCCGUCGAGAGGCGGAGGUCAAGCGCUGCGACUUCUUCAACUGUCGUCUCGUCUAGCUCGAGACGUUUCGUUCUUAGGCCUAGUCUAGGUGUUCUUUACCUGCGGCUUUUCCUCUUCCUUUUCUUCUCGUAUC
RNAcentral lists this ribosomal RNA (4315 nucleotides) under Triticum aestivum (bread wheat). RNAcentral's name for it is "partial small subunit ribosomal RNA". Lineage: Eukaryota; Viridiplantae; Streptophyta; Magnoliopsida; Poales; Poaceae. The record is from RNAcentral.